RNAcentral lists this small nucleolar RNA (101 nucleotides) under Macleaya cordata. RNAcentral's name for it is "Small nucleolar RNA snR60/Z15/Z230/Z193/J17". It matches the Rfam family "Small nucleolar RNA snR60/Z15/Z230/Z193/J17". Rfam says of the family: The members of this family belong to the C/D class of snoRNAs which contain the C (UGAUGA) and D (CUGA) box motifs. Lineage: Eukaryota; Viridiplantae; Streptophyta; Magnoliopsida; Ranunculales; Papaveraceae. The record is from Rfam by way of RNAcentral.
AUGAGUCAAAUGAUGAACAGUUGCAUAGUUCACAUGAGAUUUUUACUAAUAAAUCUCUGAUUAUAAACUUUCAUGUCUUUCGCUCCUAUCUGAUGACUCCC